Molecule: long non-coding RNA, 793 nt
Organism: Carassius auratus (goldfish)
Lineage: Eukaryota; Metazoa; Chordata; Actinopteri; Cypriniformes; Cyprinidae
Exons: 3
Source: RefSeq, a predicted model, not a curated record
AAUGACAAUGACCUCAGCAUUUCAAGGGCUAAAUUAUCAUGUGGUCACGUCACAUCUGCUAAGACUUUGGUGGAAUGCUGCACAGUACAGCUAAAGAAUGGACAAGUGGAACUGAAAUGUCCGAUAUGUACAAAAGUGUGGCCAUAUGGUGAAGUGAGAACAUUGUUAACACAUAAGGAACAACUUUAUUUUAAAGACACACUUCGGGAAAAUGCUGCUAAAAAGAUGAUUGACAUCAAAGGGUGUCCUGGCUGUGGUUCCUUUGUUGAAAGAAAGGAUUCUUCUAACCUCUGCAUUCAGUGUCCAUUCUGCACAGUAAAGACUGGGAAAAGAUAUGAGUUCUGCUGGCAGUGUGGAGGAAACUGGAAAGGGCCCCGACCUCGCACUGAUAAAUGUGAUAAUCUGGGUUGCUCUAACAGUGACUUAAAAAUGCUAAGAGAUUGUAAAAUGAUAACUUUGCCACAUAAUGAAAAUCAAAACAUUCAGUGUCCAUCGAUUCGUGCCUGUCCAGAAUGUGGCAUGCUGUUUGAACACACUCUAGAAGGGUGUAAAAUGAUGGCAUGCUUUAAUUGUAAAAUUUCAUUCUGCUUUGUCUGUCUAAAAUCAUCUGGUUGCUGUAAAUCUGGUGCUGCACCAAGACAGACAUCAAUUCCUUAGAAUCUCAAUAACUGACCCAAUGUUAAUAGAUGUAAUGUCUCUUUGAUUAGAAUUAUUGUAAUGAAUUAUGCAUAGCAUGGAAAUAAGCAAUCACUAUUUUGAAGAAAAUUUCAACGGCUUACAGUUUUUCUCAAUC